This 235-nucleotide long non-coding RNA is filed under the name Coffea arabica (coffee). RNAcentral's name for it is "long non-coding RNA (CARA_LNC007160)". The record is from RNAcentral. Lineage: Eukaryota; Viridiplantae; Streptophyta; Magnoliopsida; Gentianales; Rubiaceae.
UCGGUUAACCUGGAAAAAUUUCCAGCAGAUAACUUCCCUUGGUUUCACUCCAAAAAUCUAACUUUUCCCAUAGUUUCUUCAACUAAACCCCUUAUAAACCUGAGAUAACCAUAGUUCAUGCAUUUCUCACAUUAGUUUCCAAUUUUACACUAAUUACAGGCUGCAACAUUAGAUAAUAAACUCCCGUUCCUGCACUUCAGUCAAGUUCCAAAAUUUUCCCUCUCUAACAGAUUUU